This 253-nucleotide ribosomal RNA is filed under the name uncultured bacterium. Its description in RNAcentral is "partial 16S ribosomal RNA". It matches the Rfam family "Bacterial small subunit ribosomal RNA", at positions 524 to 776 of the family's 1533-position model. The record is from RNAcentral.
UACAGAGAGUGCGAACGUUGUUCGGAAUUACUGGGCUUAAAGCGCACGUAGGCGGCGCCGCAAGUGUGGAGUGAAAUCCCACGGCUUACCCGUGGAACUGCUUGGCAGACUGCGGUGCUAGAGGAUGGUAGGGGAGAGCGGAACUCCUGGUGGAGCGGUGAAAUGCGUAGAUAUCAGGAGGAACACCGGUGGCGAAGGCGGCUCUCUGGUCCAUUACUGACGCUGAGGUGCGAAAGCUAGGGGAGCAAACGGG